RNAcentral lists this ribosomal RNA (253 nucleotides) under uncultured bacterium. RNAcentral's name for it is "partial 16S ribosomal RNA". It matches the Rfam family "Bacterial small subunit ribosomal RNA", at positions 524 to 776 of the family's 1533-position model. The record is from RNAcentral.
UACGUAGGGACCGAGCGUUGGCCGGAUUCAUUGGGCGUAAAGAGCUCGUAGGCGGCUGUUCAAGUCGAACGUGAAAACUCGGAGCUCAACUCCGAGCCUGCGUUCGAUACUGGACGGCUAGAGUCUGGUAGGGGGAUCUGGAAUUCCUGGUGUAGCGGUGGAAUGCGCAGAUAUCAGGAGGAACACCGGUGGCGAAGGCGGAUCUCUGGGCCAUUACUGACGCUGAGGAGCGAAAGCGUGGGGAGCGAACAGG